RNAcentral lists this ribosomal RNA (267 nucleotides) under uncultured bacterium. RNAcentral's name for it is "partial 16S ribosomal RNA". It matches the Rfam family "Bacterial small subunit ribosomal RNA", at positions 524 to 777 of the family's 1533-position model. The record is from RNAcentral.
UACGAAGGGGUGCAAGCGUUAAUUCGGAAUUACUGGGCGUAAAGCGUGCGCAGGCGGUUUGUUAAGUCUGUUGAUGAAAUCCCCGAGCUCAACUUGGGAAUUGCAAUGGAUACUGGCAGGCUGGAGUAUGGUAGAGGAAGGUGGAAUUCCCGGUGUAGCAGUAGAAAUGCGUAGAGAUCGGGAGGAACACCAGUCGGCGAAGGCGGAGCCUUCGUCGGACCAAUACUGAACGCUCCAUGCACGAAAGCGUGGGGGAGCAAAACAGGG